RNAcentral lists this ribosomal RNA (501 nucleotides) under uncultured bacterium. RNAcentral describes it as "bacterial SSU rRNA". It matches the Rfam family "Bacterial small subunit ribosomal RNA", at positions 62 to 542 of the family's 1533-position model. The record is from RNAcentral.
UCGUGCGCGAAAGGGGCUUCGGCCCUGAGUAGAGCGGCAAACGGGUGAGUAACACGUGGGUGACCUGCCUUCGAGUGGGGGAUAACGUCCCGAAAGGGACGCUAAUACCGCAUGACAUCCUGCCUUUGGACAGGCGGAGAUCAAAGCCGGGGAUCGCAAGACCUGGCGCUUGAAGAGGGGCCCGCGCCUGAUUAGCUAGUUGGUGAGGUAACGGCUCACCAAGGCAACGAUCAGUAGCCGGCCUGAGAGGGCGGACGGCCACACUGGGACUGAGACACGGCCCAGACUCCUACGGGAGGCAGCAGUGGGGAAUUGUUCGCAAUGGGCGCAAGCCUGACGACGCAACGCCGCGUGGAGGACGAAGAUCUUCGGGUCGUAAACUCCUGUCGAGCGGGAAGAACACCUGCCGGGCGAAUAUCCCGGAAGGUUGACGGUACCGCUAAAGGAAGCCCCGGCUAACUCUGUGCCAGCAGCCGCGGUAAUACAGAGGGUGCGAGCGUU